RNAcentral lists this ribosomal RNA (482 nucleotides) under uncultured bacterium. Its description in RNAcentral is "partial 16S ribosomal RNA". It matches the Rfam family "Bacterial small subunit ribosomal RNA", at positions 30 to 507 of the family's 1533-position model. The record is from RNAcentral.
AUUGAACGCUGGCGGCAUGAUUUACACAUGCAAGUCGAACGGUAACAGGCCGCAAGGUGCUGACGAGUGGCGAACGGGUGAGUAAUGCAUCGGAACGUGCCCAGUCGUGGGGGAUAACUACUCGAAAGAGUAGCUAAUACCGCAUACGAUCUAUGGAUGAAAGCGGGGGACCGUAAGGCCUCGCGCGAUUGGAGCGGCCGAUGUCAGAUUAGGUAGUUGGUGGGGUAAAGGCUCACCAAGCCAACGAUCUGUAGCUGGUCUGAGAGGACGACCAGCCACACUGGGACUGAGACACGGCCCAGACUCCUACGGGAGGCAGCAGUGGGGAAUUUUGGACAAUGGGCGAAAGCCUGAUCCAGCAAUGCCGCGUGCAGGAAGAAGGCCUUCGGGUUGUAAAAUGCUUUUGUACGGAACGAAACGGCUCUGGUUAAUACCCGGGGCUAAUGACGGUACCGUAAGAAUAAGCACCGGCUAACUACGUG